GAAUUUUGCGCAAUGGGCGAAAGCCUGACGCAGCAACGCCGCGUGAAGGACGAAGGCCUUUACGGUCGUAAACUUCUGUCUGGGGGAAAGAUGAUGACGGUACCCCCAAAGCAAGCCCCGGCUAAUUCCGUGCCAGCAGCCGCGGUAAUACGGAAGGGGCGAGCGUUGUUCGGAAUUAUUGGGCGUAAAGGGCGUGUAGGCGGCUUCGUAUGUCUGGGGUGAAAUCAUGCAGCUCAACUGCAUCGAGCCUCGGAAACUGCGGAGCUUGAGGCUGGGAGGGGCUGGUGGAAUUCCCUGUGUAGCGGUGAAAUGCGUAGAGAUGGGGGAGAACACUCGUGGCGAAGGCGGCCAGCUGGACCAGUUCUGACGCUGAGACGCGAAAGCGUGGGGAGCAAACAGG
RNAcentral lists this ribosomal RNA (400 nucleotides) under uncultured bacterium. RNAcentral's name for it is "bacterial SSU rRNA". It matches the Rfam family "Bacterial small subunit ribosomal RNA", at positions 359 to 776 of the family's 1533-position model. The record is from RNAcentral.